This 292-nucleotide ribosomal RNA is filed under the name uncultured bacterium. Its description in RNAcentral is "partial 16S ribosomal RNA". It matches the Rfam family "Bacterial small subunit ribosomal RNA", at positions 505 to 796 of the family's 1533-position model. The record is from RNAcentral.
GUGCCAGCCGCCGCGGUAAUACGUAGGGUGCAAGCGUUAAUCGGAAUUACUGGGCGUAAAGCGUGCGCAGGCGGUUUUGUAAGACAGGCGUGAAAUCCCCGGGCUUAACCUGGGAAUGGCGUUUGUGACUGCAAAGCUGGAGUGCGGCAGAGGGGGAUGGAAUUCCGCGUGUAGCAGUGAAAUGCGUAGAUAUGCGGAGGAACACCGAUGGCGAAGGCAAUCCCCUGGGCCUGCACUGACGCUCAUGCACGAAAGCGUGGGGAGCAAACAGGAUUAGAUACCCCAGUAGUCC